UUGACUUUAUCACCAUACGUCGACUCUUUCAGUUUUUAUUUGGUUAAGCCGGCCAUUUUUCUCCUUUUCUUGCUUCCAUACUUUUUGCAGCCGCAAAUUUGCGCUGGUUUUUCAAUUAGACGAUUACACUGGAGUCGUUUUUUCCAGUGUUAUCAAUUUAUUGGUGUUAUCUUUUUUGCUUGUCCUGUUUGUUGCCCCCUUUGUCACAUCCAUCAAGCCAUUCAUCGCAAAUCGCUGCAGCGGUUUAAAGCGACGAAACGCUCUUUACUGUUAACAACAGUAUAUGCCUUUACUCUUGGCGAAAAGAUGAAUAUGUCCAAUUUGCUCGAGCUCCGUAUCAGCACUUUCAGAACAGUGACUCACGAGCACAGGAAUAGUGGCGAUCAGCUGUUCGUGGACUCCCUCGUGCCCAGAGACACACGUGACCGCAACUGGAGAGCUGCCAGGGGUCUGCUGGCAACUCUCUUCAUAUACUGCCUGCUUAUCUGUGCGGCUGCAAGCAUCGCAUACCAGGUGUUUGGAUUAAGCUUCGAUGGCAAACAUAGUUUCCUGCUCGUCGUCUCCGAGAUAGUGCAGAAGAAGAGCAAGACGUGGAAAUUCUAAAAGAAAUCUGGUCCACUAGAUUUGAUUCUACACGAGGGUUUUUAUGACGAAAUUACAAGCAAUGGGCAGUUAUUUCACCAAUGGUGGAUCGAAUCGCUAGGAGCACGUCGCACCCUAGAUUUACACAUUUUCACAGCCAAAAACAAGUCAUCCCCAAGGUUCUUUUACAUCACCAUCUUCAGGGCUGAACAGCACUAAAAUUGGUUUUAUGACAACUUUCGUUUUAAAAUACCUUUAUUGAUUAAGAAGAGAGCAAAAAGUACAAUUUCAUUGAAAAAAUUCAG
Symsagittifera roscoffensis is the source of this 887-nucleotide long non-coding RNA. RefSeq lists it as uncharacterized. Lineage: Eukaryota; Metazoa; Xenacoelomorpha; Acoela; Convolutidae. The transcript has 3 exons. The record is from RefSeq and is a predicted model, not a curated record.